UACGUAGGGGGCAAGCGUUGUCCGGAUUUAUUGGGCGUAAAGAGCGUGUAGGCGGCCAGGCAGGUCCGUUGUGAAAACUCGAGGCUCAACCUCGAGACGCCGGUGGAAACCGUAAGGCUAGAGUCCGGAGGAGGAGAGUGGAAUUCCUGGUGUAGCGGUGAAAUGCGCAGAUAUCAGGAAGAACACCUAUGGCGAAAGCAGCUCUCUGGGACGGUACUGACGCUGAGACGCGAAAGCGUGGGGAGCGAACAGG
RNAcentral lists this ribosomal RNA (253 nucleotides) under uncultured bacterium. Its description in RNAcentral is "partial 16S ribosomal RNA". It matches the Rfam family "Bacterial small subunit ribosomal RNA", at positions 524 to 776 of the family's 1533-position model. The record is from RNAcentral.